GACGAACGCUGGCGGCGUGCUUAACACAUGCAAGUCGAACGAAGAGCGAUGGAAGCUUGCUUCUAUCAAUCUUAGUGGCGAACGGGUGAGUAACGCGUAAUCAACCUGCCCUUCAGAGGGGGACAACAGUUGGAAACGACUGCUAAUACCGCAUACGAUCUAAUCUCGGCAUCGAGGAUAGAUGAAAGGUGGCCUCUACAUGUAAGCUAUCACUGAAGGAGGGGAUUGCGUCUGGUUAGCUAGUUGGAGGGGUAACGGCCCACCAAGGCGAUGAUCAGUAGCCGGUCUGAGAGGAUGAACGGCCACAUUGGGACUGAGACACGGCCCAGACUCCUACGGGAGGCAGCAGUGGGGAAUCUUCCGCAAUGGACGAAAGUCUGACGGAGCAACGCCGCGUGAGCGAUGACGGCCUUCGGGUUGUAAAGCUCUGUUAAUCGGGACGAAAGGCCUUCUUGCGAAUAGUGAGAAGGAUUGACGGUACCGGAAUAGAAAGCCACGGCUAACUACGUG
RNAcentral lists this ribosomal RNA (510 nucleotides) under uncultured bacterium. RNAcentral's name for it is "partial 16S ribosomal RNA". It matches the Rfam family "Bacterial small subunit ribosomal RNA", at positions 28 to 507 of the family's 1533-position model. The record is from RNAcentral.